CCCGCGCAUGCGUCCGGCAAAGCCCGUCCCCGCCGCGGCCGAGGAGCGGGCGCCGCGGGGAUAAAACAGCGGUGACUCCCAACCCCGACGCAAAGCGUUCUAAAAUGUCGAGGUGGAAAGGAAAUUGAAGGGGAGAGGAGGGGUGUAAAUAACGUCUAAAAUUCCUCUUUGUUUUGAGAGGCGGGCCGAACCCCCAAGUCGCGCUCCUGACAGAAGCUAGGGCUCGAGCGCUGACAGGCGACCGUUCAUCCCGCACCUCCUUCCAACCUGCGCUGUUAUUGGCUGCACUGGAUCCGCGUGACGAGCGGGACGAUCUCCAAAUGGUUGACAUGGCUGGGCGGACGACCUGGCGAUUAAGGAUUGCUGUGAUUCUAUGACUCUAUGUUGGACUCUGACACCAGAGGGGGAGAUCCAGAGAAGCAAGCAGCAAGCUGACAUUGCCAGAUACUGUUCAAGUAAAGGAACUUUGCACCUCUCAGUGCUUUUGAAAGGGCUCAUUCACCCGUCGGCACUGGACCGGCUCUCCCCUCCGUGCUGUGCUCGCUGUCCCCAUGCUGGCUCACUCCCAUCCUCCAGAAGUACGUGCAGGGAUAACUUGCUGUCAUGACGCCCUCCGAAAUCUCAACAGCAGUAAGUAAAGUAAAAAGUAAGUAAAAGAGACGAAAAAUAAAAACAAGAAAAGAGAAAAAAGAAAAGUGGACAGUGUGGACGAGUC
Rhincodon typus (whale shark) is the source of this 715-nucleotide long non-coding RNA. RefSeq lists it as uncharacterized. The transcript is spliced from 4 exons. NCBI's taxonomy places the organism in Eukaryota, Metazoa, Chordata, Chondrichthyes, Orectolobiformes, Rhincodontidae. The record is from RefSeq and is a predicted model, not a curated record.